AGCGAACGCUGGCGGCAGGCUUAACACAUGCAAGUCGAGCGGGCGUAGCAAUACGUCAGCGGCAGACGGGUGAGUAACGCGUGGGAACGUACCUUUUGGUUCGGAACAACACAGGGAAACUUGUGCUAAUACCGGAUAAGCCCUUACGGGGAAAGAUUUAUCGCCGAAAGAUCGGCCCGCGUCUGAUUAGCUAGUUGGUAGGGUAAUGGCCUACCAAGGCGACGAUCAGUAGCUGGUCUGAGAGGAUGAUCAGCCACAUUGGGACUGAGACACGGCCCAAACUCCUACGGGAGGCAGCAGUGGGGAAUAUUGGACAAUGGGGGCAACCCUGAUCCAGCCAUGCCGCGUGAGUGAUGAAGGCCUUAGGGUUGUAAAAUUCUUUCACCGGGGACGAUAAUGACGGUACCCGGAGAAGAAGCCCCGGCUAACUUCGUGCCAGCCGCCGCGGUAA
This 451-nucleotide ribosomal RNA is filed under the name uncultured bacterium. RNAcentral's name for it is "partial 16S ribosomal RNA". It matches the Rfam family "Bacterial small subunit ribosomal RNA", at positions 29 to 523 of the family's 1533-position model. The record is from RNAcentral.